UGGGGAAUAUUGCACAAUGGGGGAAACCCUGAUGCAGCGACGCCGCGUGAACGAAGAAGGUAUUCGUAUCGUAAGUUCUGUCCUAUGGGAAGAUAAUGACAGUACCAUAGAAGAAAGCUCCGGCUAAAUACGUGCCAGCAGCCGCGGUAAUACGUAUGGAGCGAGCGUUGUCCGGAAUUAUUGGGCGUAAAGGGUACGCAGGCGGUUUAAUAAGUCGAAUGUUAAAGAUCGGGGCUCAACCCCGCAAAGCAUUGGAAACUGAUAAACUUGAGUAGUGGAGAGGAAAGUGGAAUUCCUAGUGUAGUGGUGAAAUACGUAGAUAUUAGGAGGAAUACCAGUAGCGAAGGCGACUUUCUGGACACAAACUGACGCUGAGGUACGAAAGCGUGGGGAGCAAACAGG
Molecule: ribosomal RNA, 402 nt
Filed under: bacterium
Lineage: Bacteria
Description: partial 16S ribosomal RNA
Rfam family: Bacterial small subunit ribosomal RNA
Source: RNAcentral